CUGAGCUGUCAACCGCGAGGGAGCGGAGGCGGGGCUCCCUGCAGCCCAGGACCCGCCCAGGUGACAAGCCGCGGCGUGCCACACGCGCCCUCCCUCCGGCCUCCACCGCCUCCUUCCCGGGCUCCUCGGAGGAACGAUGCCCGCAGAGGUGGCCUUCAACGACCCUCAUCGUGCUCUCUGUCCCUCGCUCAUUCCGUUGAGGGGCUUUGGGUAGAACCACCCAGCUGCAGAGGAGCACCUUUGGAGAGACGGUCCUCCCGUGCGCCUGCGUCACCCACCCACAGUUCCCACAGCAACUGGGCUCUGCCAGAAGCUCCAAGGAGGCCGAGGGCUCCCGAACACCCCACCAUGUUUCAAACGCCUUAAGAGACUCAAGAGUGGCGCCCGGGACGUGGACUCUCUGUGGCUGUUCUUAGAUCGCUCGGAGAACCUUUCCUUCCACGGAGGGGGCUGCCCAGAUCCUGUGCAUCUACUUAGGUGUCCGUGUUUAAACAAGACAGACGUGCUGUAAUGAGAGGGCUUGCCUCCCAGAGCUCUCUUUUUAGCUCUGAAAUAAACCUUUCUAUUAAGUCACAUGA
Molecule: long non-coding RNA, 578 nt
Organism: Meriones unguiculatus (Mongolian gerbil)
Lineage: Eukaryota; Metazoa; Chordata; Mammalia; Rodentia; Muridae
Exons: 2
Source: RefSeq, a predicted model, not a curated record